This 229-nucleotide unclassified non-coding RNA is filed under the name uncultured fungus. RNAcentral describes it as "sequence contains ITS1, 5.8S rRNA gene". The stretch from base 181 to 229 matches the Rfam family "5.8S ribosomal RNA", at positions 1 to 49 of the family's 154-position model. Lineage: Eukaryota; Fungi. The record is from RNAcentral.
UCUCCGUAGGUGAACCUGCGGAGGGAUCAUUACUGAGUGAGGGCCUUCUGGUCCGACCUCCAACCCCAUGUUAUCCGACACUGUUGCCUCCGGGGCGACCCGGCCUUCGGGCGUCGGGGCCCCGGGUGGACCAUUCAAACACUGCAUCUUUGCGUCUGAGUACACGAUUGAAUCAAUCAAAACUUUCAACAACGGAUCUCUUGGUUCUGGCAUCGAUGAAGAACGCAGC